Molecule: ribosomal RNA, 252 nt
Filed under: uncultured bacterium
Lineage: Bacteria
Description: partial 16S ribosomal RNA
Rfam family: Bacterial small subunit ribosomal RNA
Source: RNAcentral
UACGUAGGGUGCGAGCGUUGUCCGGAAUUACUGGGCGUAAAGAGCUCGUAGGUGGUUUGUCGCGUUGUUCGUGAAAUCUCACGGCUUAACUGUGAGCGUGCGGGCGAUACGGGCAGACUAGAGUACUGCAGGGGAGACUGGAAUUCCUGGUGUAGCGGUGGAAUGCGCAGAUAUCAGGAGGAACACCGGUGGCGAAGGCGGGUCUCUGGCAGUAACUGACGCUGAGGAGCGAAAGCGUGGGGAGCGAACAGG